UAGGGAAUCUUCCGCAAUGGGCGAAAGCCUGACGGAGCAACGCCGCGUGAGUGAAGAAGGAUUUCGGUUCGUAAAGCUCUGUUGUUAGGGAAGAAUGAUUGUGUAGUAACUAUACAUAGUAGAGACGGUACCUAACCAGAAAGCCACGGCUAACUACGUGCCAGCAGCCGCGGUAAUACGUAGGUGGCAAGCGUUGUCCGGAAUUAUUGGGCGUAAAGCGCGCGCAGGUGGUUUAAUAAGUCUGAUGUGAAAGCCCACGGCUCAACCGUGGAGGGUCAUUGGAAACUGUUAAACUUGAGUGCAGGAGAGAAAAGUGGAAUUCCUAGUGUAGCGGUGAAAUGCGUAGAGAUUAGGAGGAACACCAGUGGCGAAGGCGGCUUUUUGGCCUGUAACUGACACUGAGGCGCGAAAGCGUGGGGAGCAAACAGGAUUAGAUACCCUGGUAGUCCACGCCGUAAACGAUGAGUGCUAAGUGUUGGUCUCAUAAGAGAUCAGUGCUGCAGCUAACGCAUUAAGCACUCCGCCUGGGGAGUACGACCGCAAGGUUG
RNAcentral lists this ribosomal RNA (548 nucleotides) under uncultured bacterium. RNAcentral describes it as "bacterial SSU rRNA". It matches the Rfam family "Bacterial small subunit ribosomal RNA", at positions 355 to 896 of the family's 1533-position model. The record is from RNAcentral.